AAAUGACGGUACCUGACUAAGAAGCUCCGGCUAAAUACGUGCCAGCAGCCGCGGUAAUACGUAUGGAGCAAGCGUUAUCCGGAUUUACUGGGUGUAAAGGGAGCGUAGACGGCUGUGUAAGUCUGAAGUGAAAGCCCGGGGCUCAACCCCGGGACUGCUUUGGAAACUAUGCAGCUAGAGUGUCGGAGAGGUAAGUGGAAUUCCCAGUGUAGCGGUGAAAUGCGUAGAUAUUGGGAGGAACACCAG
Molecule: ribosomal RNA, 246 nt
Filed under: uncultured bacterium
Lineage: Bacteria
Description: partial 16S ribosomal RNA
Rfam family: Bacterial small subunit ribosomal RNA
Source: RNAcentral